This 508-nucleotide ribosomal RNA is filed under the name uncultured bacterium. RNAcentral's name for it is "partial 16S ribosomal RNA". It matches the Rfam family "Bacterial small subunit ribosomal RNA", at positions 30 to 523 of the family's 1533-position model. The record is from RNAcentral.
AUUGAACGCUGGCGGCAUGCCUUACACAUGCAAGUCGAACGGCAGCGGGGGAGAAGCUUGCUUUUCCUGCCGGCGAGUGGCGAACGGGUGAGUAAUACAUCGGAACGUGCCCUGUAGUGGGGGAUAACUAGUCGAAAGAUUAGCUAAUACCGCAUACGACCUGAGGGUGAAAGUGGGGGACCGCAAGGCCUCAUGCUAUAGGAGCGGCCGAUGUCUGAUUAGCUAGUUGGUGGGGUAAAGGCCUACCAAGGCGACGAUCAGUAGCUGGUCUGGGAGGACGAUCGGCCACACUGGGACUGAGACACGGCCCAGACGCCUACGGGAGGCAGCAGUGGGGAAUUUUGGACAAUGGGCGAAAGCCUGAUCCAGCAAUGCCGCGUGUGUGAAGAAGGCCUUCGGGUUGUAAAGCACUUUUGUCCGGAAAGAAAUGGCUCUGGUUAAUACCUGGGGUCGAUGACGGUACCGGAAGAAUAAGGACCGGCUAACUACGUGCCAGCAGCCGCCGUAA